Molecule: ribosomal RNA, 502 nt
Filed under: uncultured bacterium
Lineage: Bacteria
Description: bacterial SSU rRNA
Rfam family: Bacterial small subunit ribosomal RNA
Source: RNAcentral
AACAUACCAGACCACAGAUUAAGCGGAGCGUGACUAAAACGGAUAUGUUUUGUUAAAGAACGCGAGCUGAAAUCUGGUGUCUGUCGUCUGGCGUCUGAGUUUAGUGGCGGACGGGUGAGUAACGCGUGAGUCAACCUGCCUUUCAGAGGGGGAUAACGUUUGGAAACAGACGCUAAUACCGCAUGACAUACAGACAUCGCCUGGUGACUGUAUCAAAGGAGCAAUCCGCUGAAAGAUGGGCUCGCGUCCGAUUAGAUAGUUGGCGGGGUAACGGCCCACCAAGUCGACGAUCGGUAGCCGGACUGAGAGGUUGAACGGCCACAUUGGGACUGAGACACGGCCCAGACUCCUACGGGAGGCAGCAGUGGGGGAUAUUGCACAAUGGGCGAAAGCCUGAUGCAGCAACGCCGCGUGAGGGAAGACGGUUUUCGGAUUGUAAACCUCUGUCCUUGGUGAAGAACAAAUGACGGUAGCCGAGGAGGAAGCCACGGCUAACUACGUG